RNAcentral lists this unclassified non-coding RNA (271 nucleotides) under Hevea brasiliensis (rubber tree). Lineage: Eukaryota; Viridiplantae; Streptophyta; Magnoliopsida; Malpighiales; Euphorbiaceae. The record is from RNAcentral.
CGCGCCUGGUUUUAAAACCAAUUGAUAUUCAAUAUAUGAGCUCGCUUUUAAAGCUGAUGCUUGAUACUGCAACCCGCUUUCAACCCAAUUCCCAAGCUCCAAUACCUCAGCAGCAAGGUACUCGAGGACAGCAGAAAGACACACAGGAGCUCUAGCACCCAAUUGCUUGGCAUACUUUCCAGCCUUGAGAAACCUGGCGAUCCUCACGGCGGGAAAAUGCAACCCACCCUUCUGCGCAAGUCGCUUCUCACCCAAUUGAUAAUCCUCAUCC